Long non-coding RNA from Dermochelys coriacea (leatherback sea turtle), 3320 nucleotides. RefSeq lists it as uncharacterized. NCBI's taxonomy places the organism in Eukaryota, Metazoa, Chordata, Testudines, Dermochelyidae. The transcript has 4 exons. The record is from RefSeq and is a predicted model, not a curated record.
UUUUCCUCCCGAGGGUCGGCGGCGGCUCCAGCUGCGUUACGAGCCGGGGCUGCUUCCCUGAAAGUUACGCCCAAGGGUUUCCGCAGCCCCAGUUUAUACAGUCCUGCAAAAUGAUCCACAUGGGCAGAUCCUUACACCCGCAUAGACUCAUUCCAUCCACAUGAAACAGCUUGCAAUCUCCAGCCAUUGAAGUAAUGAGAAUCUGAGUUUCCUUAAAACCAAUUUAAAUUACUAGCCCUCAUGGAUUCAGAGAAAAGCUGGAAAAUGUGACCUGAGUGUCACCUAACGGUUCAAAAACCAGAAGACAGGACAAAGAAUUCCAAAUGUAUUAUAAUUUAAAAUAUCAUGAUUUUUAAAGUAAUCUUGUGAUUUAUUGGGGCCUGACACUUGAUUUUUUAACAGUUGAGGGGUUUAGUAAUACCGAUGUUAUGACAAUAAUUCAGUAAGUUCCCCUAGCCAUUCAACCAUUUUCCCAUACUUCCCCAUCACCGCUCCUGCCUGCUCCUCUCUACCCUGCGUGGGAGAAAAGGGGGCCUUUUAUAGAUCAUUGACUGGGAGGUGGGAGAGAGAAGUUACUAUCCUAAGUGGUUGACUGGAGGCAGGGAAGUAGAAACUCAUGUUUUCCUUAUUGUCUCUGACAUGACACUUUCCCUGGCAGGCACUGGGCAGUAGCAGCCAGGAAUGAGAGAUCUGUGGGCUCAUUGCCUCACUGGGCAACUGAGGGAAAAAAAAUGGAAGAAAUUUUUGCCCACCAAUGAAAUGCAGCCAUAGUCAAGAAGCAUGGAGCCCACAGAGUGCUGCACUGUUCUCAUGAACGUUGCAAAUACAGAAUACACAAUUCCGCUGGAAAUACUGCAACAACAAGGGACAUGAUGAUUUUUUCAAGGCCAGUUUCCUGAGGGAUAGUGAACAACAAUUCAAGUUUGUUGGUGCAUUCAUGGAGCAGCUGCAGAUGAUGGAGCAUCUCUUCUUGGCCUGAGAAAUAAGCACUGACUAGUGGGAUCACAUGAUAAUUCAGAUUUGGGAUGAUGAGCUGCAGAACUUUCAGCUGCAAAAGCUCACAUUCCUGGAUCUGUUUUCCUAGCUCGCCCCAGCCCUCCAGCGCAUGGAUGCCAGAAUGAGAGAUGUAUUGACAGUGGAAAAGUGAGUGAUAAUCACAUUGUAGAAGGAGAGGAAUUUGGGGAGGCCAGCUCCACACAGGAGGGAUGUGGGAAGGAGAAGGGUUGCGGGGGCAGCCCCACAUGGGAGGGAGAGGGGCUCCGGGGGGCAAAUCCUCACAGGAAGGAGGAGAAAGGAGAGCAGCUUGGGGGGCCAGCUCCGUCUGGGGCGGGGGCGGGAGGUAUAUGCUCACUCUGCCACAGCUCCGGUAUCUGACCUGGCCGGGGUAGGGCCUCAGGGGGAAGAGGAGGACCAGGGUGGUGGGGCAGAGGGGAGAGGAGUUCUGACCUGUGGGAGCCCCCCAAUUGGCCAGGGCCCUUGGGCACAGGCCCCGUGGGCCCAUAUAGUAAUCCGCCACUGUGUAUGGUGGUGUUAAGAUAUGUUCCAAAGUCAGUUGGCAAACAGGUUUGUCUCAAACAAAGGAAUGUGUGCUCUGCUUAAUUUGCAUUUAAGCAAUAAACAGAGUCAUCAAGCAGGAAGGGAAACAAAAGAAGUUCAAACAGGUGCAAAAAAAGCACCAGGGAACAUCCUUCCGCAUAGACUUUUUGUCUCCUGGUACCCAGCUGGAAAUGUAUUUCAGGCAGGGAACUGUGAUGGGGUGUCUGCCCCACACUGGGCCAUAAGGGGUUAACAGAGCCCUAGGGCAGCUGUGUGAAAAGCAGCCAAUAGGAAAAGGUCUGUGAGGAGCAGCCGAUUAGGGCUGGGCAGGCUGAUAUAAGAAGAGCUGCAGGGCAGAGUAAGUUUAGUAGUUAUCUGGAGCUUGAGGAGGGAGGAUCAGGCUCUUAGCAUGAGGAAGAAGUGCUAGUACCCUGGUCAGAGUAGUGCUGCUAGCAGGGACUGGGAAGGCUAGAGAGAACUCAUGGCUAGCUGCUAAGACUGGUGGGCUGAAGCCCUGAGGUAAGGGUAAAGAAGGUGCUGGGGGCUACGAGAAAGUGGCCCAGGGAAAUGAACUGAGGAGGCAGAGAGGACGCAGCAAGUGGUGGCCAUCUACAGGGUCCCUGGGCUGGGACCUGGAGUAGUGGGUGAGCCUGGGUCCCCCCUCACUCACCACUGAGGAAGUGGCUGGACUGAGGGACUGUGAUACUGUCCCCUAGAAGCGGGGAGCACAGAGCGCAGCACAGUCAGAGGGCUGUGUCCUGAAGAGGACGCUGUGGUCCUUGGACUGACAUAGGUACAGGAGCAGAAGUGACAGCAGAAAGACAACACCAGAAGAAGGUGCACUGGUUAGCAAAGCUAAUCCAUGGGACAGCAGGAGGUGCUGUAGUGGUGAGCAAACUCUGUUAGGAGGACUGAAACUAUAAAAAGGAAGGACGAACACCCCAAGGCACUCUUUUCCCUCUUCCCCCUCCCUUCCCAUCAAUUCACUGCACCUGAAGGAACAAAGUAAGCAGCUGUUGGACUGGGGGAAGGGUGCUUGGUCAGUAAGACUGCUGAAAGCAUGUGUUGAGACAAUUUUGCUCUGAAUUUAACAUCAUUUGUUUGUUUUUCUUGUAACUAUUUCUGAUUUUUAUGCCUCAUUACUUGUACUCAAAUUCCUCUCUUUAUAGUUAAUAAACUUGUUUCAUCUAAUCCAGUGUGUUUAAAUUGAAGUGUCUGGGGAAACUCCAUUUGGAGUGACAAGUUAUGUGCCUAUUAUUUCUAUUAAAGAAAUAACGGACUUUAUAUAACUUGUAUUGCCCAGGAGACAGCUGGGCAGUACAGGACAUACAUUUCUGGGAGGAAAUCUAAGAAGUGGGGUUUGUGUUGGGGUCACCCUGCAGCAUAAUCCAGGCUGGUGAGAGCCAGAGUGUAACCCAGUGUGGCUGGCAGGCUGCAGUUACACACAAACGUACAGGAUUUGGCUUGCAUGCUGGAAGACUAUUUGUGAGUGGCCCAGGGGGGAGCUGCUUCAACCAGAGCAUUGUAAGGCACUUAAGGUUCCUGGGCAGGGGUGACACAGCUACUCGUUAGGGAGGAUUGUACCAUGGUAUGUCAACCUGAGCAGUGCUAGGUUUACAGUGGUGCCAUUGCUGCUGGAGGGGCUCUGAAGCCUGGCCCCACCCCACAUUCUGCUUGCUCUCUGCCCCAAAACCCCACCUAUACUCAGUCCCUGCUCCUGCUCUUCCCCAAGGCCCUGCCCCCACUUGGCCUCUUCCCCAGGAAGACCUGCUUGCUAAUCUCUG